Molecule: long non-coding RNA, 1267 nt
Filed under: Equus caballus (horse)
Lineage: Eukaryota; Metazoa; Chordata; Mammalia; Perissodactyla; Equidae
Description: lncRNA (ENSECAG00000045173.1)
Source: RNAcentral
GUCCGUGACCCGCGUGCCAGCCUCGGCGUCCCGGCCCGGGCGUCCGCGAGGUGGGGGCAGGCGGCGGCUGGGCGCCCCCAGGCUGAGGGGUCGCGUGCCGCCGAGGACCCCCUCUUGCCACGGCCUCGGCGGCGCUCCCCAGCCGCGGCCAGCUGGGCGUCCCGCGAGGACUGGGAGCUGCCCGAGGGCCGUCGUCGUCGCCAGCCCGGUAGCCCGGAUGUCGCUGCCCCCCGCGGCGGGGCCGCCGACGCGCUUCUCGGCCCCGGGAGGAGGCUUGUCUUAAAGGGACAGCGCCCCGUUCGAGGCAGAGGGGGCGCUGCGUUCUGCCCUCCGUGCGCGACCCCUGCCCCGAGGGGCCGCUGCGCCGCCGCCCCGAGCCCCCUCUUCAGGGCCGGGCGUCAUCGGAGCGCGGCGCGCCCUCCCCCGGAUGGCCGCAGAUGGCCGCCCAGAGGCCAGGUUUUCCUCUGGCCCGAGCCGUGGCCGGUGGCGCCGCGCGGGGCCUGGAGGCGCCGGCCUGUGAUUGGCCGAGGCCGCCGUGAAUGCAGGACAUUGUCUGGUCGCGGCCGUCUCUGUCCCUGCCCGCCACCCUCGCACGGAUCAAAAUGGGUGCGGAGCGAGGGCCCGGGCCCGCCCGCUCCCCCGGCCCGGGGGUCUUGUCCACGGUGGGCACACCGCGGUGGGAGAGCGUAACUUUUACAGAUCACGGAUGCUGAGAAGGGCAUAAAGCUUCCUCAAAUGACGGUGGUUCCAGGCUCCUCGUCUUCGCCCAGCAUAAUAUAGGAGUAAAAAGCAGAAGUCAUCAGCAGACAGGUUCCAGCUGUCUCUGGAAGGGAAACGUGCAUAGUUGUGUGGAUGUCUGCGACUCCGCCGUCCGUGUCUUCACCGGUCAGAGAAGGGAGAACAGGCUUCUCCGGGCCCUCCCUUGUGUUUCUCGAGCUCUAGCAGAGACGUUUUCUGUAAUUGGUUUUCCACAUUUGCCAAGAGUCUGUUUCCUCUUACCAUUCAACAUGUUUAACAGAAGUCUUGUACUAGUUCCAAAAAUAAUAAAACCAGUCCCAAGCAUAAAAGUGAUACAUACACAACACAUUGCUUUCUUGUUGUGGCUUUGGUUUCAUUAAGUUCUUUUUCAUAAUUUUUAGUGUCAAAUCAUGUGGUAGAAAUAAAAAGGUUUUCUUCACAGUAAUAAAACCCACUGAAGAAAUGCAAUCGAUGGCUUGCACAGCGAGCCUUAUCUGCACAGAGGCCGUCCCAGGACAGUGUGGCCAUC